Molecule: ribosomal RNA, 268 nt
Filed under: uncultured bacterium
Lineage: Bacteria
Description: partial 16S ribosomal RNA
Rfam family: Bacterial small subunit ribosomal RNA
Source: RNAcentral
UGGAGCGUGUGGUUUAAUUCGAUGCUACACGAAGAACCUUACCCAGGCUUGACAUAGCAGUGAACGAUCGCGAAAGCGUGAGGCUCCUUCGGGACACCGUUACAGGUGCUGCAUGGCUGUCGUCAGCUCGUGUCGUGAGAUGUCCGGUUAAGUCCGGUAACGAGCGCAACCCUCACUGUGUGUUAUAUGUGUCACACGGGACUGCCGGUAUCAAGCCGGAGGAAGGUGGGGAUGACGUCAAGUCAGCAUGGCCUUUAUAUCUUGGGCA